RNAcentral lists this long non-coding RNA (594 nucleotides) under Homo sapiens (human). RNAcentral describes it as "PREDICTED lncRNA (TCONS_00167560)". Lineage: Eukaryota; Metazoa; Chordata; Mammalia; Primates; Hominidae. The record is from RNAcentral.
GCUGAGUCUUGGAGAUAUUGGGUAACUCGUCCAAUCUCAUACAGACGGUACAUGGAGAGGCCGGGGUUAGGAGUGGGGCUUGCCUGCCUCCAGACAAGCUCGCCUGCCCCGGAACAGUGCUAUCCCUGACCCUGCCUCAGCAGCCCAGGGCUAAUUUCUGCCAGCUUGAUUUCCCAUGGAUUGGUAUCAGCAGGGUCCAUGUGGGUCCUGCGAGGUGGAGUGAUAAAGGUGACAAGUGAGGACACUGCAAUGGAAGAUGGCACUGCACUUUACAUUUGCACUUGUCAUGGUGAUAGUGACAUUUCUGAUUAACAUCAGAACUUUGGUCUGCUGAUUUCACCCGUGAACUUGGAGCCAGAAGUCCCAGGAUCCAUCUGAUCUCUGACCCAAUUGCCACGUCCUUCAGGUUCAUGCUACAAAAUCACCCAGCGUUGCUCUUGGCUGACGCCCCAGAGGAAAUCUGAAACGCAGCACUACGUGAGCUCUCUGGAAAUGGAUGGUAGACGGAGAGCACGUGGAAACUGCACAGAGCCGUCCACAGAUGGAGCCAGCUGCCUGAGGCUCAGGAAGCAAAUUGAAGAAAUAAGUUGAAAC